AGUACAAAAAUAGAAAAAUACUUAAGCAAAAUAAAAGUAAAAAAGUGUUUUAAGCAAAAUAAAAGUACAAGGGUACUUUAAAAAAUAAUAAUACAAAAAUACUUUAAACAAAAAUAAAAAAUACAAAAGUACUUUAACAAAAUAAAAAUAUCAAGGUACUUAAACAAAAUAUCAAUUACAAAAGUACUUAAACAAUUUUGAAAGCUUAGGGUUUUAUGGCGGAGGAGGAGGUGACAUAACAACUGGGUAGUCAUCAGGAAGAUUUAAGGGAUCCACAAA
This 279-nucleotide long non-coding RNA is filed under the name Lathyrus oleraceus (garden pea). RNAcentral's name for it is "Pisum sativum (pea) long non-coding RNA (PSAT_LNC014462)". The record is from RNAcentral. Lineage: Eukaryota; Viridiplantae; Streptophyta; Magnoliopsida; Fabales; Fabaceae.